Molecule: ribosomal RNA, 483 nt
Filed under: uncultured bacterium
Lineage: Bacteria
Description: partial 16S ribosomal RNA
Rfam family: Bacterial small subunit ribosomal RNA
Source: RNAcentral
GACGAACGCUGGCGGCGUGCUUAACACAUGCAAGUCGAACGCUGAAGCUCAGCUUUUGUUGGGUGGAUGAGUGGCGAACGGGUGAGUAACACGUGAGUAACCUGCCCCCUUCUUUGGGAUAACGCCCGGAAACGGGUGCUAAUACUGGAUAUUCACUGGUCUUCGCAUGGGGGUUGGUGGAAAGGGGUUUUCUGGUGGGGGAUGGGCUCGCGGCCUAUCAGCUUGUUGGUGGGGUGAUGGCCUACCAAGGCUUUGACGGGUAGCCGGCCUGAGAGGGUGACCGGUCACAUUGGGACUGAGAUACGGCCCAGACUCCUACGGGAGGCAGCAGUGGGGAAUAUUGCACAAUGGGCGCAAGCCUGAUGCAGCGACGCCGCGUGAGGGAUGGAGGCCUUCGGGUUGUGAACCUCUUUCGCUCAUGGUCAAGCCGCAACAAUGGUUGUGGUGAGGGUAGUGGGUAAAGAAGCGCCGGCUAACUACGUG